Molecule: ribosomal RNA, 433 nt
Filed under: uncultured bacterium
Lineage: Bacteria
Description: partial 16S ribosomal RNA
Rfam family: Bacterial small subunit ribosomal RNA
Source: RNAcentral
AACGAACGCUGGCGGCAGGCUUAACACAUGCAAGUCGAACGCACCUUUCGGGGUGAGUGGCAGACGGGUGAGUAACGCGUGGGAAUCUACCCUUCUCUACGGGAUAGCUCCGGGAAACUGGAAUUAAUACCGUAUACGUCCUGAGGGAGAAAGAUUUAUCGGGGAAGGAUGAGCCCGCGUUGGAUUAGCUAGUUGGUGGGGUAAAGGCCUAGCAAGGCGACGAUCCAUAGCUGGUCUAAGAGGAUGAUCAGCCACGUUGGGACUGAGACACGGCCCAAACUCCGACGGAGGGGAGCAGUGGAGAAUACUGGGCAAGGAGCGCAAGUCUGAUCCAGCCACGCCGGGGGAGUGAUGAAGGCCGUAGGGUUGUAAAGCUCUUUCAGUGGGGACGAUAAUGACGGUACCCACAGAAGAAGCCCCGGCUAACUUCGUG